This 519-nucleotide ribosomal RNA is filed under the name Ruditapes philippinarum (Manila clam). Its description in RNAcentral is "partial 16S ribosomal RNA". It matches the Rfam family "Bacterial large subunit ribosomal RNA", at positions 1819 to 2599 of the family's 2925-position model. The record is from RNAcentral. Lineage: Eukaryota; Metazoa; Mollusca; Bivalvia; Venerida; Veneridae.
GGCUUUUUGAGUAUUUAAAUAAUAAAAAGUCUGGCCUGCCCAGUGAGUAUAUUAAAUGGCUGCAACGAGAGUUGUACUAAGGUAGCGCGAUAAUUUGUCUCUUAAUUAGAGAAUGGUAUGAAGGGUUAGACGUGGGAUUAUUGUCUCUAAAAAAUACAGUUAAGUUUCCUUUUAAAUGAAAAGGUUUAAAUUUAUUAAAAGACGAGAAGACCCUGUCGAGCUUAAUUAAAUAAAAAACUAGAUAUGGUUAAAUGAAAAGUGUUAAUAGUUUAAUUGUUGGCUGAGUUUUUAAUUGAAGUUUAGUUGGGGAGAGCUGAGUUUAAGGUAAUAAACUUAAGAAAUACUAAAGAUCCUCUUUGAGAGAAGUUAGCAAAAGCUACCGCAGGGAUAACAGCGUAAUUCUUUUUAAGAGAUCUUAUUGAGGGAAGAGUUUGCGACCUCGAUGUUGGAUUAGAAAAAACUUUUUUGGUGUAGCAGCUAGAAAGUUGUAAAGAACUGGUUCGUUCUUUUAAUUUUUCU